This is a long non-coding RNA of Aquila chrysaetos chrysaetos, 447 nucleotides long. RefSeq lists it as uncharacterized. The record is from RefSeq and is a predicted model, not a curated record. NCBI's taxonomy places the organism in Eukaryota, Metazoa, Chordata, Aves, Accipitriformes, Accipitridae. The transcript is spliced from 3 exons.
CUUGAUAUUUGCAGGGUAGCAACAUGUACUGUGAAGAGCGGGAGAGCGAUGGCUAGGGAUGUUCCGCUUUGCAUCCUGGCUGGUACUGGACCACCCGCGCAAUGGAAGCGGCUGUGCUUCCCAGCUGGGAACGCACCAGUCCGACCCCAAAAAGCCUGUAGGUGCCCUCUCCUGUGCUGGGAGGGUCGGAAGGAAUUAAAAGUUAUCUUAGAGCUAAAAAGAAUUACAGCUGGUAGCGCCUGUAUGGAACAAUAAGCUGUUUUCAGGGAGGUUAUUGUCAAGUAUUGCCUGCUCUGCAGUGCUUUGCAUGGAAAAGCAUCAGAAACAACAUGCCUUGGGAAGCUGCCUGGAAAAUAAAUGCAGUAGCUUAAUUCACCCAGGCAAAUGCGUGCUUGGGCAAAGAAAAUAUUUAGAUGGAGAAGAAAGAGGAUCAGCUUCUAGCUUUGG